Molecule: long non-coding RNA, 493 nt
Organism: Cotesia glomerata
Lineage: Eukaryota; Metazoa; Arthropoda; Insecta; Hymenoptera; Braconidae
Exons: 2
Source: RefSeq, a predicted model, not a curated record
CAAGUUUUUUAUUUACGUACGUCAUAGAUACCGGAAUCGUUGGAUCUACUUCGAGUGCGUCAGUAGUGAUGUUUGAUUGAUACUCAUCACCCCGCGAUUUAAUAAUCUCGGUCUCACUGCUUAAAGACGAAAGGUAAAAAACAGAGAAAAUAGCUCCAUCUGUUUCUGUAAAGUGACCAUGGGAAUGAUCGAUUGUCCACAUUUUCGGAACUUUGAUUUGGACAUUCCAAGCAUUGACAGUUCUGGAUUUAUGAACUCAGCAAUCCAUUGAGUCGGAAAACUUUCAGUAUUCUUAUUAGAAUUUAUACUCUGGAACACAAUUGUACAUUCGAAGUUCCAAGAUGUGGUUACAAUAUUCGGGCCUUGCUGAUAAGAGUAAUUUAUCUGAGUGAAUGGUAGGCCAGUUACCAAUCUUAGUACUAUAGUACUUAGUACACUUAGUACAAGCUAACCAAAGUUUAAGCAAAGAUUAGUGCUGCUAUUAAUUUUUAUU